CGAAGUAGUGCCUAUGCGCUAUUUAGUGGCAAACGGGUGAGUAACACGUAGCUUAGCUGUCCUAAAGUGGGGGAUAGCCGCGGGAAGCCGCGGGUAAUACCGCAUGUGAUCUACGGAUUAAAGCUUAAUGCGCUUUAGGAGGUGGCUGCGGCCCAUCAGGUUGUUGGCGGGGUAAUGGCCCACCAAGCCUAUGACGGGUAUCCGGCCUGAGAGGGUGAUCGGACACAUUGGAACUGAGACACGGUCCAGACUCCUACGGGAGGCAGCAGCUAGGAAUUUUCCGCAAUGGACGAAAGUCUGACGGAGCAACGCCGCGUGAAGGAUGAAGGUCUUUAGGGAUUGUAAACUUCUUUUAUAUGAGACGAGUAAGGACGGUAUCAUAAGAAUAAGUCCCGGCUAACUACGUGCCAGCAGCCGCGGUAAUACGUAGGGGGCUAGCGUUGUUCGGAAUUACUGGGUAUAAAGGGUGCGCAGGCGGAUUUCUAAGCAAGAGGUGAAAUGUCAAGGCUCAACCAUGGCACUGCCUUUUGAACUGGUUAUCUGGAGUACAGAAGGGGAGAGCAGAAUUUCCGGUGUAGGGGUGGAAUCUAUAGAUAUCGGAAGGAAUACCGUUCGCGAAGGCGGCUC
Molecule: ribosomal RNA, 627 nt
Filed under: uncultured bacterium
Lineage: Bacteria
Description: bacterial SSU rRNA
Rfam family: Bacterial small subunit ribosomal RNA
Source: RNAcentral